Molecule: non-coding RNA, 77 nt
Organism: Apis mellifera (honey bee)
Lineage: Eukaryota; Metazoa; Arthropoda; Insecta; Hymenoptera; Apidae
Source: Rfam
GGGCCGGUUCACUUUAAGUUCGAAUACCAAGCCUGUCUAUAAACAGUUUGGUGUUCUACCUUACAGUGAGUCGACCG